RNAcentral lists this ribosomal RNA (497 nucleotides) under uncultured bacterium. RNAcentral's name for it is "partial 16S ribosomal RNA". It matches the Rfam family "Bacterial small subunit ribosomal RNA", at positions 28 to 507 of the family's 1533-position model. The record is from RNAcentral.
GAUGAACGCUGGCGGCGUGCCUAAUACAUGCAAGUCGAGCGAACAGACGAGGAGCUUGCUCCUCUGACGUUAGCGGCGGACGGGUGAGUAACACGUGGAUAACCUACCUAUAAGACUGGGAUAACUUCGGGAAACCGGAGCUAAUACCGGAUAAUAUAUUGAACCGUAUGGUUCAAUAGUGAAAGACGGUUUUGCUGUCACUUAUAGAUGGAUCCGCGCCGCAUUAGCUAGUUGGUAAGGUAACGGCUUACCAAGGCAACGAUGCGUAGCCGACCUGAGAGGGUGAUCGGCCACACUGGAACUGAGACACGGUCCAGACUCCUACGGGAGGCAGCAGUAGGGAAUCUUCCGCAAUGGGCGAAAGCCUGACGGAGCAACGCCGCGUGAGUGAUGAAGAUCUUCGGAUCGUAAAACUCUGUUAUUAGGGAAGAACAAAUGUGUAAGUAACUAUGCACGUCUUGACGGUACCUAAUCAGAAAGCCACGGCUAACUACGUG